This 21-nucleotide non-coding RNA is filed under the name Rattus norvegicus (Norway rat). The record is from RNAcentral. Lineage: Eukaryota; Metazoa; Chordata; Mammalia; Rodentia; Muridae.
UUCACAAUCUCCGCCUCUGGG